GCUAUCAUUAUUCAAAGACAUUUGGGGGUCAGUCGAAGCCUGUAGCCGUCCUCUCUCGGGCGUGACGGGCGACCGACAUCCUCCUCUUGAGAGACGCAUGUCACAGUGCGGCCCCGGCAGAAUCAGCUCCGGGUUCCCCGCGUCUGCGGCGGACCGUCUCUUGGGAAACUCAGUGGGGGCAAUUGGAUGGUUUGCGGGCGAUCCCUGCGCGGAGGCGUUGAAGCUGCCCCGGGGAGAACCCCAAGCCGGGUGCUCGGACCUCGAGCCGGCACCCCAACCGUUUGACAAUUCUUCCCACUCCCUCGGAGUGUUCGGGGCCCUACCUCUGUGUCCAACGGAGGAGGGCCUCGGUCAAGAUAGUUACCUGGUUGAUUCUGCCAGUAGUCAUAUGCUUGUCUCAAAGAU
Molecule: unclassified non-coding RNA, 405 nt
Filed under: Ramalina celastri
Lineage: Eukaryota; Fungi; Ascomycota; Lecanoromycetes; Lecanorales; Ramalinaceae
Description: partial 28S-18S ribosomal RNA intergenic spacer
Source: RNAcentral